This 126-nucleotide ribosomal RNA is filed under the name Quivisianthe papinae. RNAcentral's name for it is "partial 18S ribosomal RNA". It matches the Rfam family "Eukaryotic small subunit ribosomal RNA", at positions 1710 to 1831 of the family's 1831-position model. The record is from RNAcentral. Lineage: Eukaryota; Viridiplantae; Streptophyta; Magnoliopsida; Sapindales; Meliaceae.
UCGGAUCGCGGCGACGCGGGCGGUCCGCUGCCUGCGACCUCGCGAGAAGUCCACUGAACCUUAUCAUUUAGAGGAAGGAGAAGUCGUAACAAGGUUUCCGUAGGUGAACCUGCGGAAGGAUCAUUG